AAGUCGUAACAAGGUUUCCGUAGGUGAACCUGCGGAAGGAUCAUUAUUGAAUGAAUUUAGGAUUUGGUUUGAUGCUGGCCCAAGGGCAUGUGCACGCCUUCUCCUUCAUCCACACACACCUGUGCACUUGUGAGACGGAGGAUUAAUUUCUUCCGUCUACUAAUCACACAAACUCAUUGUAAUUGAACUGAAUGUAAUUGAUGUAACACAUCAUUUGAACUAAGUUUCAACAACGGAUCUCUUGGCUCUC
Molecule: unclassified non-coding RNA, 250 nt
Filed under: Ceratobasidium sp.
Lineage: Eukaryota; Fungi; Basidiomycota; Agaricomycetes; Cantharellales; Ceratobasidiaceae
Description: partial internal transcribed spacer region
Rfam family: Eukaryotic small subunit ribosomal RNA (bases 1-46)
Source: RNAcentral